Clupea harengus (Atlantic herring) is the source of this 1075-nucleotide long non-coding RNA. The record is from Ensembl. Lineage: Eukaryota; Metazoa; Chordata; Actinopteri; Clupeiformes; Clupeidae.
UCUCUUUGCGCUCUUCAUAUCGGCCUUUUGCUGUGCUUUGUUGAAAGCACAGGGACAUCAUGAAGGGGGCUUUCUGCGGUAACAGGUGUACCUGGCAGAGAGCCAGAAUGGGGAUUUGCCUGGGCUGUUUUGCCAGGGCUCUGCGGAACAGAUGUGUUUUAGAUGUUCUAGAACCUUCUGCCCUGGCAGGAAGCUUUGGAGUCUUGGAUUUGUGCUGAUCGCUUCAGGACUCCACAGGUGACUCAAAGCUUUUCUCUCACAUCAACCCCCCCAACACACACACACACACACACACACACACACACACAGUCACACACCCACAGCUUUUCUCUCACAUUAACCCCCGUUCCACAGAGAAGAAAACAAAAGGAAACAGAAGGAAAUGUAUAAUCCCGGGUGGGUGUGGCAUAGCUGUUCUGAUGUAUGCAUGUGUGCAAGCAUGCUUUUUCUCUCUCUCUCUCACACACACACCCACACACACACACCCACACACACACACCCACACACAGACAGACAGGCACACACCCACAGGUACACCACAUAUACCGCAUCCAGAGCAUGCACACGGACCCUUGUUCAGAAGCCAACACAUCUGUUGCUCGUCCCGAUUCAGCAAAUAUUUGAAUGUAAAAUUCUGCUCAGUGGCUGUGUGCGCCAGCAGGCAUUUGAUGGGAUGAAACUUGUAGGAGGAGUAUAAGACGUGCUUCACCAAUGGGCCCCUUAGUCUAAAAAGGCCUGUACAUAUGCAUCUGUGUAUCACUCUAAGCCCCCCCCCCCCCGCCACACACACACACACACAUCAUUCACACACACGCACCCCUUGGGCGGUACCAGGGUGUUUAUUUGUCCCCGAUACUGGUGAGGGUUGGUCAUUACACACACACACACACACACACACACACACACACACACACACCGAGCGCAGGCUUGAGACCACUGUGAGUUUGAUUGCAUGGGUACGAGUGCACCACUGGGUAAGGCAACAUCAGCUCAUAAAGACGGCCCAGAAGAGGCACCACACCACACGCAGGUUCCACCACCCCUGCUGCUGCUGCCGCUGCUGCCGCCGUGCGGG